CAAUAGCGUAUAUUUAAGUUGUUGCAGUUAAAAAGCUCGUGGUUGGAUUUCGGUUAAGAGCGACCGGUCCGCCGUUUGGUGUGCACUGGUUGGUUUUAACUUCCUGUAGAGGACGUGCUCUGGGUUUAACGACCUGGACUCGGAGUCUACGUGGUUACUUUGAAAAAAUUAGAGUGUUCAAAGCGGGCUUACGCUUGAAUAUUUCAGCAUGGAAUAACACUAUAGGACUCCUGUCCUAUUUCGUUGGUCUCGGGACGGGAGUAAUGAUUAAGAGGAACAGUUGGGGGCAUUCGUAUUUCAUUGUCAGAGGUGAAAUUCUUGGAUUUAUGAAAGACGAACUUCUGCGAAAGCAUUUGCCAAGGAUGUUUNCAUUA
Molecule: ribosomal RNA, 374 nt
Filed under: uncultured eukaryote
Lineage: Eukaryota
Description: partial 18S ribosomal RNA
Rfam family: Eukaryotic small subunit ribosomal RNA
Source: RNAcentral